AGCCGCAGGCCAGCGGCCGUUCCGCCCACCUGAAAAGCGGAAGGUCGGCGGUUCGAUCCCGCCCCUGGCCACCA
This 74-nucleotide transfer RNA is filed under the name Mycobacterium intracellulare subsp. intracellulare MTCC 9506. RNAcentral's name for it is "tRNA-OTHER". Lineage: Bacteria; Bacillati; Actinomycetota; Actinomycetes; Mycobacteriales; Mycobacteriaceae. The record is from RNAcentral.